Molecule: ribosomal RNA, 468 nt
Filed under: uncultured bacterium
Lineage: Bacteria
Description: partial 16S ribosomal RNA
Rfam family: Bacterial small subunit ribosomal RNA
Source: RNAcentral
GACGAACGCUGGCGGCGUGCUUAACACAUGCAAGUCGAACGGAAAGGCCCUGCUUUUGUGGGGUGCUCGAGUGGCGAACGGGUGAGUAACACGUGAGUAACCUGCCCUUGACUUUGGGAUAACUUCAGGAAACUGGGGCUAAUACCGGAUAGGAGCUCCUGCUGCAUGGUGGGGGUUGGAAAGUUUCGGCGGUUGGGGAUGGACUCGCGGCUUAUCAGCUGGUUGGUGGGGUAGUGGCUUACCAAGGCUUUGACGGGUAGCCGGCCUGAGAGGGUGACCGGCCACAUUGGGCCUGCGAUACGGCGCAGUCUCCUACGGGAGGCAGCAGUCGGGAAUCUUGCACAACGGGCGGGAGUCUGAUGCAGCAGCGCCGCGUGCGUGAUGACGGCUUUCGGGUUGUAAACCGCUUUCGCCUGUGCCGAAGCGUGAGUGACGGUAACGGGUAAAGAAGCACCGGCUAACUACGUG